RNAcentral lists this ribosomal RNA (2895 nucleotides) under Escherichia coli. RNAcentral describes it as "bacterial LSU rRNA". It matches the Rfam family "Bacterial large subunit ribosomal RNA". Lineage: Bacteria; Pseudomonadati; Pseudomonadota; Gammaproteobacteria; Enterobacterales; Enterobacteriaceae. The record is from RNAcentral.
ACUAAGCGUACACGGUGGAUGCCCUGGCAGUCAGAGGCGAUGAAGGACGUGCUAAUCUGCGAUAAGCGUCGGUAAGGUGAUAUGAACCGUUAUAACCGGCGAUUUCCGAAUGGGGAAACCCAGUGUGUUUCGACACACUAUCAUUAACUGAAUCCAUAGGUUAAUGAGGCGAACCGGGGGAACUGAAACAUCUAAGUACCCCGAGGAAAAGAAAUCAACCGAGAUUCCCCCAGUAGCGGCGAGCGAACGGGGAGCAGCCCAGAGCCUGAAUCAGUGUGUGUGUUAGUGGAAGCGUCUGGAAAGGCGCGCGAUACAGGGUGACAGCCCCGUACACAAAAAUGCACAUGCUGUGAGCUCGAUGAGUAGGGCGGGACACGUGGUAUCCUGUCUGAAUAUGGGGGGACCAUCCUCCAAGGCUAAAUACUCCUGACUGACCGAUAGUGAACCAGUACCGUGAGGGAAAGGCGAAAAGAACCCCGGCGAGGGGAGUGAAAAAGAACCUGAAACCGUGUACGUACAAGCAGUGGGAGCACGCUUAGGCGUGUGACUGCGUACCUUUUGUAUAAUGGGUCAGCGACUUAUAUUCUGUAGCAAGGUUAACCGAAUAGGGGAGCCGAAGGGAAACCGAGUCUUAACUGGGCGUUAAGUUGCAGGGUAUAGACCCGAAACCCGGUGAUCUAGCCAUGGGCAGGUUGAAGGUUGGGUAACACUAACUGGAGGACCGAACCGACUAAUGUUGAAAAAUUAGCGGAUGACUUGUGGCUGGGGGUGAAAGGCCAAUCAAACCGGGAGAUAGCUGGUUCUCCCCGAAAGCUAUUUAGGUAGCGCCUCGUGAAUUCAUCUCCGGGGGUAGAGCACUGUUUCGGCAAGGGGGUCAUCCCGACUUACCAACCCGAUGCAAACUGCGAAUACCGGAGAAUGUUAUCACGGGAGACACACGGCGGGUGCUAACGUCCGUCGUGAAGAGGGAAACAACCCAGACCGCCAGCUAAGGUCCCAAAGUCAUGGUUAAGUGGGAAACGAUGUGGGAAGGCCCAGACAGCCAGGAUGUUGGCUUAGAAGCAGCCAUCAUUUAAAGAAAGCGUAAUAGCUCACUGGUCGAGUCGGCCUGCGCGGAAGAUGUAACGGGGCUAAACCAUGCACCGAAGCUGCGGCAGCGACGCUUAUGCGUUGUUGGGUAGGGGAGCGUUCUGUAAGCCUGCGAAGGUGUGCUGUGAGGCAUGCUGGAGGUAUCAGAAGUGCGAAUGCUGACAUAAGUAACGAUAAAGCGGGUGAAAAGCCCGCUCGCCGGAAGACCAAGGGUUCCUGUCCAACGUUAAUCGGGGCAGGGUGAGUCGACCCCUAAGGCGAGGCCGAAAGGCGUAGUCGAUGGGAAACAGGUUAAUAUUCCUGUACUUGGUGUUACUGCGAAGGGGGGACGGAGAAGGCUAUGUUGGCCGGGCGACGGUUGUCCCGGUUUAAGCGUGUAGGCUGGUUUUCCAGGCAAAUCCGGAAAAUCAAGGCUGAGGCGUGAUGACGAGGCACUACGGUGCUGAAGCAACAAAUGCCCUGCUUCCAGGAAAAGCCUCUAAGCAUCAGGUAACAUCAAAUCGUACCCCAAACCGACACAGGUGGUCAGGUAGAGAAUACCAAGGCGCUUGAGAGAACUCGGGUGAAGGAACUAGGCAAAAUGGUGCCGUAACUUCGGGAGAAGGCACGCUGAUAUGUAGGUGAAGUCCCUCGCGGAUGGAGCUGAAAUCAGUCGAAGAUACCAGCUGGCUGCAACUGUUUAUUAAAAACACAGCACUGUGCAAACACGAAAGUGGACGUAUACGGUGUGACGCCUGCCCGGUGCCGGAAGGUUAAUUGAUGGGGUUAGCCGCAAGGCGAAGCUCUUGAUCGAAGCCCCGGUAAACGGCGGCCGUAACUAUAACGGUCCUAAGGUAGCGAAAUUCCUUGUCGGGUAAGUUCCGACCUGCACGAAUGGCGUAAUGAUGGCCAGGCUGUCUCCACCCGAGACUCAGUGAAAUUGAACUCGCUGUGAAGAUGCAGUGUACCCGCGGCAAGACGGAAAGACCCCGUGAACCUUUACUAUAGCUUGACACUGAACAUUGAGCCUUGAUGUGUAGGAUAGGUGGGAGGCUUAGAAGUGUGGACGCCAGUCUGCAUGGAGCCGACCUUGAAAUACCACCCUUUAAUGUUUGAUGUUCUAACGUUGACCCGUAAUCCGGGUUGCGGACAGUGUCUGGUGGGUAGUUUGACUGGGGCGGUCUCCUCCUAAAGAGUAACGGAGGAGCACGAAGGUUGGCUAAUCCUGGUCGGACAUCAGGAGGUUAGUGCAAUGGCAUAAGCCAGCUUGACUGCGAGCGUGACGGCGCGAGCAGGUGCGAAAGCAGGUCAUAGUGAUCCGGUGGUUCUGAAUGGAAGGGCCAUCGCUCAACGGAUAAAAGGUACUCCGGGGAUAACAGGCUGAUACCGCCCAAGAGUUCAUAUCGACGGCGGUGUUUGGCACCUCGAUGUCGGCUCAUCACAUCCUGGGGCUGAAGUAGGUCCCAAGGGUAUGGCUGUUCGCCAUUUAAAGUGGUACGCGAGCUGGGUUUAGAACGUCGUGAGACAGUUCGGUCCCUAUCUGCCGUGGGCGCUGGAGAACUGAGGGGGGCUGCUCCUAGUACGAGAGGACCGGAGUGGACGCAUCACUGGUGUUCGGGUUGUCAUGCCAAUGGCACUGCCCGGUAGCUAAAUGCGGAAGAGAUAAGUGCUGAAAGCAUCUAAGCACGAAACUUGCCCCGAGAUGAGUUCUCCCUGACCCUUUAAGGGUCCUGAAGGAACGUUGAAGACGACGACGUUGAUAGGCCGGGUGUGUAAGCGCAGCGAUGCGUUGAGCUAACCGGUACUAAUGAACCGUGAGGCUUAACC